Molecule: ribosomal RNA, 403 nt
Filed under: uncultured bacterium
Lineage: Bacteria
Description: partial 16S ribosomal RNA
Rfam family: Bacterial small subunit ribosomal RNA
Source: RNAcentral
AUUGAACGCUGGCGGCAGGCCUAACACAUGCAAGUCGAGCGAGCGGCGGACGGGUGAGUAAUGUAUGGGGACUGCCCGAUAGAGGGGGAUAACUACUGGAAACGGUGGCUAAUACCGCAUAUUAUCGGAUAAUCCAUAUGGGUUUAGCUAGUAGGUAAGGUAAUGGCUUACCUAGGCGACGAUCCCGAGAUGGUCUGCGAGGAUGAUCAGCCACACUGGGACUUCGACACGGCCCAGACUCCUACGGAGGAAGCAGGGGGGAAUAGGGGACAAUGGGCGCAAGCCUGAUGCAUCCAUGCCGCGUGUAUGAAUAAGGCCCUAGGGUUGUAAAGUACUUUCAGUCGGGAGGCGUUACCGACAGAAGAAGCACCGGCUAACUCCGUGCCAGCAGCCGCGGUAAUUC